This is a small nucleolar RNA of Otolemur garnettii (small-eared galago), 135 nucleotides long. Its record names the gene SNORA70. It matches the Rfam family "Small nucleolar RNA SNORA70". Rfam says of the family: snoRNA U70 seems to be exclusive to mammals and is a member of the H/ACA class of snoRNA which contain H (ANANNA) and ACA box motifs. H/ACA box snoRNAs are involved in the conversion of uridines to pseudouridines (5-ribosyluracil) a constituent of structural RNAs (transfer, ribosomal, small nuclear, and small nucleolar). The record is from Ensembl. NCBI's taxonomy places the organism in Eukaryota, Metazoa, Chordata, Mammalia, Primates, Galagidae.
CUGCAGCUAAUUAAGCCAAUCAAGCUUCUUUCCUCAUGGGGGCUUGGUGUGCAAUGGCUACAAACAGCAGCCUCCUUGGCAGUGUAUGCAGCCUGUUGCUUGUAUAGGUUGCUCUAAGGGACCUUGGAGACAUUC